Molecule: ribosomal RNA, 465 nt
Filed under: uncultured bacterium
Lineage: Bacteria
Description: bacterial SSU rRNA
Rfam family: Bacterial small subunit ribosomal RNA
Source: RNAcentral
GAACGCGCAGUUUUCUGUAGCAAUACAGGAGGCGGGCGCGUGGCGAACGGGUGCGUAACACGUGGGCAACCUUCCCUUCGGUGGGGGAUACCCCCGCGAAAGCGGGACUAAUACCGCAUAACACUCCUUGGGUUAGUUCUCAGGGAUUCAAAGCAGCAAUGCGCCGGAAGAGGGGCCCGCGGCCGAUUAGCUAGUUGGUGAGGUAACGGCUCACCAAGGCUAAGAUCGGUAGCCGGUCUGAGAGGAUGAUCGGCCACACUGGAACUGAGACACGGUCCAGACUCCUACGGGAGGCAGCAGUGGGGAAUCUUGCGCAAUGGGCGAAAGCCUGACGCAGCGACGCCGCGUGGGGGAUGAAGCUUUUACGGAGUGUAAACCCCUUUCGACCCGGACGAAUGCCCGCAAGGGUUUGACGGUACGGGUAGAAGAAGCCCCGGCUAACUACGUGCCAGCAGCCGCGGUAAU